RNAcentral lists this ribosomal RNA (253 nucleotides) under uncultured bacterium. RNAcentral describes it as "partial 16S ribosomal RNA". It matches the Rfam family "Bacterial small subunit ribosomal RNA", at positions 524 to 776 of the family's 1533-position model. The record is from RNAcentral.
UACGUAGGGCGCAAGCGUUAUCCGGAAUUAUUGGGCGUAAAGAGCUCGUAGGCGGUUUGUCGCGUCUGCCGUGAAAGUCCGGGGCUCAACUCCGGAUCUGCGGUGGGUACAGGCAGACUAGAGUGAUGUAGGGGAGACUGGAAUUCCUGGUGUAGCGGUGAAAUGCGCAGAUAUCAGGAGGAACACCGAUGGCGAAGGCAGGUCUCUGGGCAUUAACUGACGCUGAGGAGCGAAAGCCAGGGGAGCGAACGGG